GAUGAACGCUGACUGAAUGCUUAACACAUGCAAGUCCAACUGUGGUGGACGGGUGAGUAACGCGUAAAGAACUUGCCUCACAGAUAGGGACAACAUUUGGAAACGAAUGCUAAUACCUGAUACUGUGAGAGAGCUUUGCGUCCCAUUAGCUAGUUGGAGAGGCAACGGCUCACCAAGGCGAGGAUGGGUAGCCGGCCUGAGAGGGUGAUCGGCCACAAGGGGACUGAGACGCGGCCCUUACGCCUACGGGAAGCAGCAGUGGGAAACAUAGGACGAUGGACCAAAGUAUGAUCCAGCAAUUCUGUGUGGACGAUAAAGUUGUCGGAAUGUAAAGUGCUAUGAGUUGAGAAGCAGUACCAACAGAAGAAGUGACGGCUAAAUACGUGCCAGCAGCCGCGGUAAUAC
This 405-nucleotide ribosomal RNA is filed under the name uncultured bacterium. Its description in RNAcentral is "partial 16S ribosomal RNA". It matches the Rfam family "Bacterial small subunit ribosomal RNA", at positions 28 to 526 of the family's 1533-position model. The record is from RNAcentral.